AAUCUAAAAUCCCCUAACAGUCGAUCAUUGAUUGGGUGAGGAAAUAAUAUAUACAUAUAUUAAAAAAAAGAAUUCUCUUAUUUAUUCCUUUCCUUCUCGAGUCUCUCUCUCCACCUAUCUCCUACAACAGAGCAUCUUUCGAGUCGAGGGUACCUAAGAAAGCAUUAGGUAGAGGCUGAUUUCGUCGUUAUCACCAUCGGCGACUUUGGUUUAGUUGAUUUAUCGGCUUCUCAGUUUCACUUGGUUCCAAAUUCUUAGAUUGGUUAUUUGUUUGUUCUCUUUGAUUUUCAAUGAUCAGUUGCUUAACAUGAAUUUGUUAUCGCAGCGACCAAUCUUUUCAAGAUCCUACGCAAGUACAGGCCAUAACCAAAUCGGUUUGUUUGAUUGUACGCAAGUACAUGCCACCAUAAACAAGUUGGUUAUAUACUUCUCCUAAAUCGCCUAUCUCCACAACCAGACCUCGGGUUUGGGUCAUCUUAGAUGUGAUGAGACUUCUACUAGCAUCGCCUUAUCUUUUACUGGUGUCUCUGUUCUUUUGUCUCGGUGCUGUCAUCUCCUCAGUCUUCUAUUGUAUCAAAGUAUUUCUUGUUAUAUGAUAUAAUUUAGAAAAACUUAUUUAUUCGUUAACAUAAGAAGAGUAUUUAUACAUAAUGAAAUUUUCUUAUAUGAUAGAAUCGUAUCACA
RNAcentral lists this long non-coding RNA (684 nucleotides) under Capsella rubella. Its description in RNAcentral is "long non-coding RNA (CRUB_LNC000927)". Lineage: Eukaryota; Viridiplantae; Streptophyta; Magnoliopsida; Brassicales; Brassicaceae. The record is from RNAcentral.